RNAcentral lists this ribosomal RNA (256 nucleotides) under uncultured bacterium. Its description in RNAcentral is "partial 16S ribosomal RNA". It matches the Rfam family "Bacterial small subunit ribosomal RNA", at positions 524 to 777 of the family's 1533-position model. The record is from RNAcentral.
UACGAAGGGGGCUAGCGUUGCUCGGAAUCACUGGGCGUAAAGCGCACGUAGGCGGAUUGCUAAGUCAGGGGUGAAAUCCUGGAGCUCAACUCCAGAACUGCCUUUGAUACUGGCGACCUUGAGUCCGGGAGAGGUGAGUGGAACUGCGAGUGUAGAGGUGAAAUUCGUAGAUAUUCGGAAGAACACCAGUUGGCGAAGGCGACUUACUGGACACAGUAUUGACGCUGAGGUGCGAAAGCGUGGGGAGCAAACAGGG